RNAcentral lists this long non-coding RNA (1131 nucleotides) under Manacus vitellinus (golden-collared manakin). RNAcentral's name for it is "lncRNA (ENSMVIG00005018601.1)". Lineage: Eukaryota; Metazoa; Chordata; Aves; Passeriformes; Pipridae. The record is from RNAcentral.
AUGGGGCAUUGUCACCCCAUGGGGCACUGUCACCCUCUGGGGUAUUGUCACCUUGUGGGACAUUGCCACCCUACAAGGCAUCAGCACCCUGUGGGGCAUCGUUACCCCCACAGCAUUGUCACCCUGCAAGGCAUCGUCACCCCACAGGGCACUGCCCCCCUCAGGUGUUGUCACCUCAUGUGCCAGCCCCCUUGUGCCUGCUGCCAGCCUCUCUGCUCCUCCUGCCUGCUCUGCCUACAUGAUGGGGACAUGAUGGCUUUCUGGAGGCUUUGCCUGCUUGGGGACAGGAACCCCUUCUGCCUCUUCUGCCUGCUUGGGGACAGGAACCCCUUCUGCCUCUUCUGCCUGCUUGGGGACACGGGUGUCUGCUGGCUCCCAGGGGACAGGAACGUUCUCCCCUGCCUGGGGACAGGAUCCUCGAGUACCUACACAGGAACUAGAUCAUUUGUGCCUGCUCAGGGCUCUUCUGGCUCUUCGGGGACAGGGUGCUGCUCUGCCUGCUUGGGAACACAGCCACUUUCAUCUGCUUGGGGACAGGAGCCCCCUCUGCCUACUGCCAGCCUGCUCAGGGACAUGGGCAUCUUCUGGAUCCCUGGGGACAAGAUCACUUUCCCCUGCCUGGGGGCAAGAUCCUGGAGUACCUACAUGGGGACAAGAGCGUUUCUGCCUGCCUGGGGACAUGGGCAUCUGCUGGGGACAGAGUCCUGCUCUGCCUGCUUGGGGACACGGUCACUUUCAGCUGCUUGGGGACAGGAACCCCCUCUGCCUGUUCAGGGACACGAGCACUUUCUGGCUCCAUGCGGACAGGGUCCUGCUCUGCCUUCCUGGGAACUGGGAAUCUGCUGGCUCCACGGGGACGGGGUCCUCUCUGCCUGCUCAGGAACAUGGAUACUUUCACCUGCUCGGGGACAGGAGCCCCAUCUGCACGGAGACACGGGCAUCUCCUGGCUCCUUGGGGACAGGAUCAUGUCUGCCUGCCUGGAAACAGGGCCCCUGAGUACCUAUUCGGGCCCAAGAUCAUUUCUGCCUGCUUGGGAACACGGGCAUCUCCUGGCUUCCUGGGGACAUGGACUCUGGCCUCGCCCCUCCAGCUGGAUGGGCAUCCCUUUUACUGGGGACCACGGCCCCUGA